Small nuclear RNA from Choloepus hoffmanni (Hoffmann's two-fingered sloth), 189 nucleotides. Its record names the gene U2. It matches the Rfam family "U2 spliceosomal RNA". From Rfam's summary of the family: U2 is a small nuclear RNA (snRNA) component of the spliceosome (involved in pre-mRNA splicing). Complementary binding between U2 snRNA (in an area lying towards the 5' end but 3' to hairpin I) and the branchpoint sequence (BPS) of the intron results the bulging out of an unpaired adenosine, on the BPS, which initiates a nucleophilic attack at the intronic 5' splice site, thus starting the first of two transesterification reactions that mediate splicing. The record is from Ensembl. NCBI's taxonomy places the organism in Eukaryota, Metazoa, Chordata, Mammalia, Pilosa, Megalonychidae.
GUCCUUUCUUUGGUUUUUGGCCUAAGAUGAGGGGAAUAUCUGUUGUUAUAAUUUAACUUUUGAUAAGUCUUCUAUCUGAGGUUAAUUUAUCAAGUGGGAUUUUAGAACGGGGAGAUUAAAUAGAAGCUUGCUCCAUACAUUCCAAAAAUUAAUCUGGUGUUGCAGUUUCCCAUGAGUGUUGCAGUUUUC